GACGAACGCUGGCGGCGUGCUUAACACAUGCAAGUCGAACGGAAAGGCCCUGCUUUUGUGGGGUGCUCGAGUGGCGAACGGGUGAGUAACACGUGAGUAACCUGCCCUUGACUUUGGGAUAACUUCAGGAAACUGGGGCUAAUACCGGAUAGGAGCUCCUGCUGCAUGGUGGGGGUUGGAAAGUUUCGGCGGUUGGGGAUGGACUCGCGGCUUAUCAGCUUGUUGGUGGGGUAGUGGCUUACCAAGGCUUUGACGGGUAGCCGGCCUGAGAGGGUGACCGGCCACAUUGGGACUGAGAUACGGCCCAGACUCCUACGGGAGGCAGCAGUGGGGAAUAUUGACCAAGGGGCGGAAGCCUGAUGCAGCAACGCCGCGUGCGGGAUGACGGCCUUCGGGUUGUAAACCGCUUUCGCCUGUGACGAAGCGUGAGUGACGGUAAUGGGUAAAGAAGCACCGGCUAACUACGUG
Molecule: ribosomal RNA, 468 nt
Filed under: uncultured bacterium
Lineage: Bacteria
Description: partial 16S ribosomal RNA
Rfam family: Bacterial small subunit ribosomal RNA
Source: RNAcentral